Molecule: non-coding RNA, 408 nt
Organism: Sulfitobacter sp.
Lineage: Bacteria; Pseudomonadati; Pseudomonadota; Alphaproteobacteria; Rhodobacterales; Roseobacteraceae
Rfam family: Bacterial RNase P class A
About the family: Ribonuclease P (RNase P) is a ubiquitous endoribonuclease, found in archaea, bacteria and eukarya as well as chloroplasts and mitochondria. Its best characterised activity is the generation of mature 5'-ends of tRNAs by cleaving the 5'-leader elements of precursor-tRNAs.
Source: Rfam
GCGGAAGGCUGGAUGGCCGCGGGGGCGGGGGCAACUUCGCGUCCGAGGAAAGUCCGGACUCCACAAAGACACGGUGCCGGGUAACGCCCGGCGGGGGCAACCCCAGGGAAAGCGCCACAGAGAACAGACCGCCUUUAUGCGGAUCGGGCAACCGACAUCACAUAGGGGUAAGGGUGAAACGGUGGAGUAAGAGACCACCGCGGGACGGGCAACCGGACCGGCACGGCAAGCCCCACCGGGAGCAAUGCCAAAUAGGGACCGCGUGCGGCGCAAGCCGCAGGGCUGCUUUGGCCCGAGCAGGUCCGGGUUGGCAGCUAGAGGCGCAGGGGUAACUCUGUGCCAAGAUGAAUGGCCAUCCACGGGGGGCAACCCCCUGGACAAAAUCCGGCUUACAGGCCUUCCGCGCAA